Helianthus annuus (common sunflower) is the source of this 2055-nucleotide long non-coding RNA. RefSeq lists it as uncharacterized. The record is from RefSeq and is a predicted model, not a curated record. Lineage: Eukaryota; Viridiplantae; Streptophyta; Magnoliopsida; Asterales; Asteraceae. The transcript is spliced from 7 exons.
AUGACCACACUUAACAAACUAAAUUCUGACAAAUAUUAAGACACUAUCAUGUUGAAAAGACAUGAAUAAACAUCAAUCUCUUAUACUAAAGCAAAAUAAUGUUUGACUUUUUGACUUUGAUGUGGCAAUGCUCUUUGCCAGAGAAUUGUUUUUUUAGGCGCCAUUCUCCUUCUUCUUUCAUCAAUGUCUCUUUAGAUUAUAUAUGGAAGGUUGAAAACUUAAUCAAUUAUUGGAAUUUUUUUAGGAAAUUAUGAAACCGUUUCCAAUUCUACGGCCUAUAUACAAAUUCUUGCUUUUAAUCGGAUGAAACGACGACUGAAGAAGCCUGCUCUGUUUUAUCUUCAUCAUCAGACUUUGAAAUUCAAGCAUCGAAGUUUCAUUCUACCUCUAAGAAGAACGAUGGCGGCAUACCACUCUCUUCGGCUAUGAAAUUGACGAUUGAAAAAGGAUCCUUCAAUAUCUACCUCCGGUUUAUGUUAUUUUUGGCUAUUGAUGUUGAGAUCAAGCUUUUCUAUAUGCAAUGGAAGAGCAAUACAAGCCAUUGAAAGAAUUUGGUGUCGGGGAUUUUGUAGUAGCAAGCCUGGUUAUCGAUAAGAAGAUGAAAGAACUGUUUGCUAUCAAAUACAAUGAAUGAGGGAAACAUGUAUAAUCAUUAUUUUCUGAAUUGUGAGAAGAAAUAACCUUCAAUAGCGAUUUUGAAACCCAUCAAAUUUCUUUAUCAUUAUAUGUGGUCUACCUCACUUUCUAAAAGAAAUCAUUAUUUUUCUUUUUUAGUGAGUAAAUAUAUGUUAUAAUUUAGGGAUUAUGUCGAGUCUGAUUUCCUUGGAAUGACAAUUCUCCUGAAACUGUUUGUUAAUCUCGAGUGGCGAUUUGAAAUGUUUACUUAUGAAUAGAUCGAUAAAUGUUGUAUGUUAUUUCAAACGGGUCUAACAAAGUUAGUUUUUGUAAAUGUUUUAUAUAUGCUUUGUGUCUGAAUUUCAUAACUUUUGGGGCUUUUGUGAAUCUUAUAGUAGUAUCUGUGGAUUGACUUUGUUGUUAAUCCGUGUUAUCCUUUGCCGUUAAUUAUUCACACGAUUCUUACCAUGCGUCUAAAAAUUUGUCUGGAGUUCCUAACGGAUUUCUACAUUCUCCCGUUUACAUGGAUUUGGGAAGCCUGAUAUCUGGGAUGAACAUCAGGAUGGAAUAUGGAAACCACCAAAGAUACCAUAUCCGGCAUACAAAGGUGGCUGCUUUUAGGGGUGAGCAAACGGGGCGAAUCCGCUAGAACUGGAUCAAACUAACCCGGAACUGAGAACCGAAUGCGGUGUAUUUCAAGAACCUGAACCGAACCUUAUAAUACAUACACGGGUCAGGUUUUUAAACGGUUUCAAGUUUCGGUUCCAAUGGUUUUCACGGAACCUUCCAACAAUGAUUUGAGCUUCAUACAUACAACAGUUUUUCUGAGUUUUGUUUUUGGACCCAAACACUCUUGAAAAUCUGUAUUUUUUACUUCAUUUGUUGGAAGUUGUAAUAGGACGAUUUGUUGCUGCUGCUACUACAGCUGUUUCGGUCAAAGGAGUCUUGCCAGCUAUCUUAUUUUGGGUGUGAUCAUUCUGGAAACUCAUCAAGCAUAUGGAUUGCUGGUGCAUUUGCUCUCCAAGCUGCAGGUUUUCACCUUUUUAAAUCUUUUAUCAUCUGACCAAGUUAACCGGUGCAUCAGGAUUUAACUACUGAAACUAUUUUUGAAAGCUCUUAAUUUCUUAAAAGCAUACGUGCUUCAAGACCAAGAGGCACAUGCAACACAGAUGGAGUCAUAUUUUCAUGGAUAUCAAGCCAGAUGGUGUGUGAAGAGGUUGUGCCAAAAGGCCAUGUUUUGGUUCAAGGUGGCAUUUGUGAUGAAUUUCUCUCCACAUAUUUGUCUCCAUCAAUGGGAUGGUAAGCAUGACGUGUAAUAAAUUAGUUAUAGGAGAUAAUUUAUGGAUGUACCUCUGUUGUUUGAAGUUGUAAUAAUGAUUACUUAACUCUUAAACUGUAAUCAGAAGUAGAUAUGUUUAGUCCAAAUAUAUUUUUAGAAUA